This 775-nucleotide transfer RNA is filed under the name uncultured cyanobacterium. Its description in RNAcentral is "partial contains 16S ribosomal RNA, 16S-23S ribosomal RNA intergenic spacer, and 23S ribosomal RNA". The stretch from base 185 to 258 matches the Rfam family "tRNA". The record is from RNAcentral. Lineage: Bacteria; Bacillati; Cyanobacteriota.
CAGGGAGACAACACAAUGAUUUUGAUGCCUGAGUGCUUUUAUUCUUAGGCCGAAAUCCUGUCACCUUAGGUCGAUCGGUACCUCAGCUUUGAAAUCGAGGAUCAGCAGCAAUGUUGAUGGCCUGAUGGAGAUUUUCAGUUCCUAAACUUUGUCUAGGUCACACCCCAAAAGGGAUGAGACUCCUGGGCCAUUAGCUCAGGUGGUUAGAGCGCACCCCUGAUAAGGGUGAGGUCCCUGGUUCAAGUCCAGGAUGGCCCAUUCGGUGUUGGGGGUUUAGCUCAGUUGGUAGAGCGCCUGCUUUGCAAGCAGGAUGUCAGGAGUCCGAGUCUCCUAACCUCCACUGACCGAACUUGAUUCCCAUCUCCAAUUUUUUUGGAGUUGAGCUCGAUUGGAGUGUGAUUUAGAUGUGUCCGCUGGAUGACCCCAGCUUCCUGCCAUUCCAAGUUUUAGGUUGAUGCCUUGAAUUUGGUCGAUAAGAUGCUGGGCUCGGAUCAAAUGAUCAAGCAAUUGAUGAUUUGAUUUGAAGUUCUAGCAGAACCUUGACAACUGCAUAGGUGAGUCUGGAAAAAACAAAGCAUCUUACAGAUGCAUUGUUUUGAAUCUGAUCUUCUGAAAGGGAGAUUGGAUCUAGAACAAUGAAAAUUCUUUUGAGCAAGAGCCGAGACUCUUGAGCGUUCUUUGAUUGGUGUCGAGCCAAUCAGAGUUUGAUCUUGUUUUUAGCAAUAAAAACUUGAGAAUCUGCUUUCAACGGCGGUAAGCGUUCAGGAGGUUAAUU